Molecule: long non-coding RNA, 1009 nt
Organism: Coffea eugenioides
Lineage: Eukaryota; Viridiplantae; Streptophyta; Magnoliopsida; Gentianales; Rubiaceae
Exons: 7
Source: RefSeq, a predicted model, not a curated record
UAUUGAUCUUAAUAAUCUUCAAGCCAGAGAAGACUCUGCUAUUAGGCAAGGUGAGUUGGUGGCUGAAAGAUUUGGGAUUGGUGUUACAGCUGAAGCUCAGAGCAUUUUUUAUGCUCUGUCCAAAACGCUUCCAGUGCACUGGGACAAGACUACUAUAGUUGUGAUGAAUGAAGUGCGCGUUAGUAGCCCAUAUCUUCCUGAGUCCGUCCUUGGAGGAACUCCAACUGCUAAUGAGCGAGUGCAGAAAGUGCUUGAGUUUGAGAGGAGAGAUUACAAACUCACUAUGCUGGUCAAUGACUAUGUUACUCUGUCAUGCAUUGAGGGUGAAUUGGUGCCGUCGUGUUCGGAUUACUAAGGGAAUGGCUUCUCAACUCUCUGAGCAUCAAGUUCUUUUUGGAUUGUUACCAAGUUUUGAUGGAGAAGUUUCCCUCAUGAAGUUGUGAGGCAUGCUCAAGGAUUCCAUAAUGUGGAAGGGGAUAAGAACUAUAAAGCAUAUACGUCUCCAGAAUAUUUCGACGCACACCUUACUCCACUUGGCUGGCAACAGGUUGAUAAUUUGCGCAAGCAUGUACAUACAAGUGGGCUUUUGAACAGGAUUGAAUUAGUUGUCACAUCUCCAUUGCUAAGGACUAUGCAAACUGUUGUUGGGGUAUUUGGUGGUGAUGGCAUACAGACAGGACGGAUAUCUUGCCACUCAUGUUGGCAAAUGCAGGAAAUAGUCGGCAUGCUGCAAUUUCAAGCCUUAAUUGUCCUCCUAUUGUUGCAUUAGAACUUUGUCAAGAGCAUUUGGUAGGUCCUUUGAAGGUUAUGUGUGCACUUUUGAUUUUAAACGUGAACAUUCUUGUGGCUGUGGAUAGCAUUCUGAUUUUCUUGGUUUCAAGUCGGGUAGAAAGGAACCUUUGAUUUAAUUACUAAGCUCAAAUGCUUUAUCCAGUUCAAGGGAAUUAUUUGGAACUCUUGAAUAUUUCUUUUAGAACUAAAAUAUUAUGACUACUUCCACUUAAAUCCA